GACGGACGCUGGCGGCGUGCUUAACACAUGCAAGUCGAACGGAAAGGCCCUGCUUUUGUGGGGUGCUCGAGUGGCGAACGGGUGAGUAACACGUGAGUAACCUGCCCUUGACUUUGGGAUAACUUCAGGAAACUGGGGCUAAUACCGGAUAGGAGCUCCUGCUGCAUGGUGGGGGUUGGAAAGUUUCGGCGGUUGGGGAUGGACUCGCGGCUUAUCAGCUUGUUGGUGGGGUAGUUGCUUACCAAGGCUUUGACGGGUAGCCGGCCUGAGAGGGUGAACGGGCACAUUGGGACUGAGAUACGGCGCAGACUCCUACGGGAGGCAGCAGUGGGGAAUAUUGCACAAUGGGCGGAAGCCUGAUGCAGCAACGCCGCGUGCGGGAUGACGGCCUUCGGGGUGUAAACCGCUUUCGCCUGUGACGAAGCGUGAGUGACGGUAAUGGGUAAAGAAGCACCGGCUAACUACGUG
Molecule: ribosomal RNA, 468 nt
Filed under: uncultured bacterium
Lineage: Bacteria
Description: partial 16S ribosomal RNA
Rfam family: Bacterial small subunit ribosomal RNA
Source: RNAcentral